Molecule: non-coding RNA, 73 nt
Organism: Ameiurus melas (black bullhead)
Lineage: Eukaryota; Metazoa; Chordata; Actinopteri; Siluriformes; Ictaluridae
Source: the annotation of a GenBank genome assembly
GGCAGUGUGACUUGGUGGUAAAGUCUCUGGGUUACUAAUCAGAGGGUCAGGGGUUCAAGCCCCAACACUGCCA